AAGGCAAGAAAACCGCGCGCUCCGCGGUCGG
RNAcentral lists this small RNA (31 nucleotides) under Bombyx mori (domestic silkworm). RNAcentral describes it as "ovarian small RNA-4300". The record is from RNAcentral. Lineage: Eukaryota; Metazoa; Arthropoda; Insecta; Lepidoptera; Bombycidae.